Molecule: ribosomal RNA, 253 nt
Filed under: uncultured bacterium
Lineage: Bacteria
Description: partial 16S ribosomal RNA
Rfam family: Bacterial small subunit ribosomal RNA
Source: RNAcentral
UACGGAGGAUGCCAGCGUUAUCCGGAAUGAUUGGGCGUAAAGCGUCCGCAGGUGGCGAUGUAAGUCUGCUGUUAAAGAGUCUAGCUCAACUAGAUAAGAGCAGUGGAAACUACAUAGCUAGAGUACGUUCGGGGCAGAGGGAAUUCCUGGUGUAGCGGUGAAAUGCGUAGAGAUCAGGAAGAACACCAGUGGCGAAGGCGCUCUGCUAGGCCGUAACUGACACUGAGGGACGAAAGCUAGGGGAGCGAAUGGG